AGAUUUUAUAACGCCUUUCAAUUUCUAGAUAUAAACACUCGAGGUUUUAUACUUGGAUAUAUCAGUCAGUGAUUUUGUUGUUGAAGGAACUAUCACAGCUAUGAAGGUCAGCGCUCUUCUCGUGGUCAUGCUGGUUUUUGCUAUGGUGAUUACUGCACCAGAGGUUGUCAGUGCUAAAGCUGCGGCCAAUGAUGCUGAUGAAGGCAAACCAAAAGACACAGGAAAUAAGAACGGUGAAAAGAAUUCCAAGCAGAAUGACGCCAAAUCUCAAUGGACACUUUCUUCCAAUUGGUGAUACAAAGAUUUAAGAACAGAAUGUUGAAACGGCUGAAGAAUAUGAAAGUCUUACACUGACCUUUUCUGCCACUUUUAUGUUAACAAAAUUUAGCUAAGAAAAUAAACAAUGCAACUCAUAA
Long non-coding RNA from Ruditapes philippinarum (Manila clam), 416 nucleotides. RefSeq lists it as uncharacterized. The transcript has 4 exons. Lineage: Eukaryota; Metazoa; Mollusca; Bivalvia; Venerida; Veneridae. The record is from RefSeq and is a predicted model, not a curated record.